Non-coding RNA from Parasteatoda tepidariorum (common house spider), 1220 nucleotides. The record is from RefSeq and is a predicted model, not a curated record. NCBI's taxonomy places the organism in Eukaryota, Metazoa, Arthropoda, Arachnida, Araneae, Theridiidae.
GAUUCUAGGGAAGAAAAUGAGAAAGAAAAAGAGGAAAAGGAGGGGGAAUCUGAGAAAGGACCAAAUAUGGCAAAAGUAAAAUCCUGGUUUUACCAGCCUCUUCCUCCCGGAUUUCCUGAAAGAUCUUUUUCUAAUAUAUUUUCAGAAUCAAAAAGGCCAUUCAACAGAUUUCCUGUAUCGCAUCCAGCCAAAGGUGGCUACUCCUAUUUUUACCAAUAUUAAAAAACUUUUAUCCUCUUAUACACUGUAAAAAAUUACAGAUCUAACUACGGUUUAAAAUAGUAUCUUUGGAGCAUCAUCCGUAAAAUCUAUUUAACCGUAAAAUCCAUUUAAUAUUUUACCGUAAUUUUUACAAUAAUAUUUUUGAAUUGGAGUGAUUUAUUGGUUUUACGGUAGUCAUUACUGUUAAAAUUACGGUAUAACAGAUUUUUCUUUUGUUUAGUGACAUGUUCCGGUAAAAGGGAUUUUUCGGUAAAAAGUACUGACAUCCUGAAUGCAGGCACUUUUAAUCGUAAUUUGAUCCGUAAUUGUUUGCCUAAAUUUAUAAGGUUUCUCGUUACACCUAAUAAUAUUCUAAUGUAGGAAUUCUUCAAUUUUUUUAAAGAAAGGUAAGGGAGUGCACUUUUGAAAUGAAUCUUUAUUGCUAAAAGUGUAACAUCCUUAUUUAAACAUGAAUUGUUUAAAGAUUACUGGUCACCUUGUAAAUAAUUUUGUAGCAAUUUUAAAUAGUUGAUUUGUCCUUCUUAACUUUUAUUAUUAAUCAUCAAUUUUUUGUUGUUUUUAAUGACUGCAAACAUUUGAUUUAAUAUCUUUAUUGUGCUAUUUACCCAUCAUUGACUAAUUCAUAUGCCAAUAGCUUUUAAUGUCUUUUUGUGUUGAUAAUAUUUAUUUUUGAAUCUCAAGCAUUUUGAUUCCGAUAUGAUUUUUAAAAUUUUAAAAUAAUGUAAAUUGUUUUUUGAAUUUCUUUAAAAUGUAAACUAGUGAAAUUUAUAUGUUUAUUGUGUCUAGGUUCAUUUGAUCUGUGAUUUAAAUAUAUUAAAUUCUAAUUCAAGCAGUUUUGCUAAUCUGCGCUGAAUUUUCAGAUCAAAAAAUUAAAACAUUUGAAUUAACAAAAUUCAUGCCAAUAAUUAAUUUGAUGUAUUUAUUAGCAUUGUUGUAUUGUUCUAAGUAUGUAUUCGUGUGUAUAGUAGGUUAUUUAUUAAAAACCAGUCAUUUUUUAA